RNAcentral lists this unclassified non-coding RNA (378 nucleotides) under plant metagenome. RNAcentral's name for it is "partial contains 5.8S ribosomal RNA, internal transcribed spacer 2, and large subunit ribosomal RNA". The stretch from base 1 to 105 matches the Rfam family "5.8S ribosomal RNA", at positions 50 to 154 of the family's 154-position model. The record is from RNAcentral.
GAAAUUCGAUAAGUAAUGUGAAUUGCAGAAUUCAGUGAAUCAUCGAAUCUUUGAACGCACCUUGCGCUCCUUGGUAUUCCUUGGAGCAUGCCUGUUUGAGUAUCAUGAAAUCUUCAAAGUAAAUCUUUUGUUAACUCAAUUGGUUUCUACUUUGGUAUUGGAGGUCUUUGCAGCUUCACACCUGCUCCUCUUUGUUCAUUAGCUGGAUCUCAGUGUUAUGCUUGGUUCCACUCGGCGUGAUAAGUUAUCUAUCGCUGAGGACACUGUAAAAGGUGGCCAAGGUAAAUGCAGAUGAACCGCUUCUAAUAGUCCUUUGACUUGGACAAUACUUUUAUGAUCUGAUCUCAAAUCAGGUAGGACUACCCGCUGAACUUAAGC